This 456-nucleotide ribosomal RNA is filed under the name uncultured bacterium. RNAcentral describes it as "bacterial SSU rRNA". It matches the Rfam family "Bacterial small subunit ribosomal RNA", at positions 340 to 786 of the family's 1533-position model. The record is from RNAcentral.
UACGGGAGGCAGCAGUGGGGAAUAUUGCACAAUGGGCGCAAGCCUGAUGCAGCCAUGCCGCGUGCAUGAAAAAGGGCCUUCGGGUUGUAAAGUACUUUCAGUCGUGAGGAAGGUGUUAAGGUUAAUAACCUUAGCAAUUGACGUUAGCGACAGAAGAAGCACCGGCUAACUCCGUGCCAGCAGCCGCGGUAAUACGGAGGGUGCGAGCGUUAAUCGGAAUUACUGGGCGUAAAGGGCACGCAGGCGGUUAAUUAAGUUGGAUGUGAAAUCCCCGGGCUUAACCUGGGAAUGGCAUUCAAGACUGGUUAGCUAGAGUCUUGUAGAGGGGGUUAGAAUUCCAUGUGUAGCGGUGAAAUGCGUAGAGAUGUGGAGGAAUACCGGUGGCGAAGGCGGCCCCUGGGACAAAGACUGACGCUCAUGUGCGAAAGCGUGGGGAAGCAAACAGGAUUAGAUACC